This 1585-nucleotide ribosomal RNA is filed under the name metagenome. Its description in RNAcentral is "bacterial LSU rRNA". It matches the Rfam family "Bacterial large subunit ribosomal RNA", at positions 1267 to 2925 of the family's 2925-position model. The record is from RNAcentral.
GCAGCGGUGGACUGUAUUCGAGUGAGAAUGCCGGAAUGAGUAGCGAGAAUUAUGUGGGAAUCAUAAUGGCCGAAAAUCUAAGGUUUCUUGGGGAAGGUUCGUCCGCCCAAGGUAAGCCGGGAGCUAAGGCGAGGCCGAGAGGCGUAGUCGAUGCACAUACGGUUGAAAUUCCGUAGCCACCGAAACUUAAGCUAGAAGGACACUUGGAGCUAUCCAGACCCGGGCGUUGGUUGACCCGGGCGAAAGGGACCGAAAAUAAGUAGGGAAGCUGGAGAAUGACGAGGCGAGAAAAGUUCUAGUGUAUGCUAAGGUGCCCGUACCGCAAACCGACACAGGUAGAUGAGGAGAGAAUCCUAAGGCCAACGGGAGAAGGGUUGUUAAGGAACUCGGCAAAAUUACCCCGUAACUUCGGGAUAAGGGGAGCUCCCUAAGGGGAGCCGCAGAGAAUAGGCCCAAGCGACUGUUUACCAAAAACACAGGUCUAUGCUAAAUCGAAAGAUGACGUAUAUGGGCUGACGCCUGCCCGGUGCUGGAAGGUUAAGAGGAGGGCUUAGCGCAAGCGAAGGUCUGAAUUGAAGCCCCAGUAAACGGCGGCCGUAACAAUAACGGUCCUAAGGUAGCGAAAUUCCUUGUCAGGUAAGUUCUGACCCGCACGAAUGGCGUAACGAUUUGGGCGCUGUCUCAACAGCCCACCCGGCGAAAUUGUAGUACCGGUGAAGAUGCCGGUUACCCGCAACUAGACGGAAAGACCCCAUGGAGCUUUACUGUAGCUUAAUACUGAGGAUUGGUAAAUCAUGUACAGGAUAGGUGGGAGACAUGGAAGCCUGGGCGUCAGCUCAGGUGGAGUCACCCUUGGGAUACCACCCUUGAUUUACUGGUUUUCUAACCUGCGGCCGUGAAUCCGGCCGGGGGACACUGUUAGGUGGGCAGUUUGACUGGGGCGGUCGCCUCCUAAAAGGUAACGGAGGCGCUCAAAGGUUCGUUCAGCACGGACAGAAAUCGUGCAGUGAGUGUAAACGCAUAAACGAGCCUAACUGCGAGACCGACGGGUCGAGCAGUAACGAAAGUUGGAGUUAGUGAUCCGGCGGUAUGUGAGUGGAAAUGCCGUCGCUCAACGGAUAAAAGCUACCCUGGGGAUAACAGGCUGAUCUCCCCCAAGCGUCCACAGCGACGGGGAGGUUUGGCACCUCGAUGUCGGCUCGUCACAUCCUGGGGCUGAAUUCGGUCCCAAGGGUUCGGCUGUUCGCCGAUUAAAGUGGCACGCGAGCUGGGUUCAGAACGUCGUGAGACAGUUCGGUCCCUAUCUGUUGCGGGCGUAAGAGAUUUGAAGGGAGCUGUCCUUAGUACGAGAGGACCGGGAUGGACAGACCUCUGGUGCACCAGUUGUCCUGCCAAGGGCACAGCUGGGUAGCUACGUCUGGACGAGAUAAACGCUGAAAGCAUCUAAGCGUGAAACUCUCCCUAAGAUUAGAUCUCUCAUCCUUUAUGGAGUAAGGCUCGACGUAGACUAUGUCGUUGAUAGGUCGGAGGUGGAAGUGCUGCGAGGCAUGUAGCUGACCGAUACUAAUAAGCCGAGGGCUUGACC